RNAcentral lists this ribosomal RNA (274 nucleotides) under uncultured bacterium. Its description in RNAcentral is "partial 16S ribosomal RNA". It matches the Rfam family "Bacterial small subunit ribosomal RNA", at positions 523 to 796 of the family's 1533-position model. The record is from RNAcentral.
AUACGGAGGGUGCAAGCGUUAAUCGGAAUUACUGGGCGUAAAGCGCGCGUAGGUGGCUAAGUCAGUCAGAUGUGAAAGCCCCGGGCUCAACCUGGGAACUGCACCUGAUACUGCUUGGCUAGAGUACAGGAGAGGGUGGUGGAAUUUCCUGUGUAGCGGUGAAAUGCGUAGAUAUAGGAAGGAACACCAGUGGCGAAGGCGACCACCUGGUCUGAUACUGACACUGAGGUGCGAAAGCGUGGGGAGCAAACAGGAUUAGAAACCCCGGUAGUCC